This 72-nucleotide transfer RNA is filed under the name Camelus bactrianus (Bactrian camel). It matches the Rfam family "tRNA". Rfam says of the family: Transfer RNA (tRNA) molecules are approximately 80 nucleotides in length. Their secondary structure includes four short double-helical elements and three loops (D, anti-codon, and T loops). Lineage: Eukaryota; Metazoa; Chordata; Mammalia; Artiodactyla; Camelidae. RNAcentral also lists the same sequence under 1 other name. The record is from Rfam by way of RNAcentral.
GAGGGUAUAGUUCAGUGGUAGAGUGUCUGCUUAGCAUGCAUGAGGUCCUGGGUUCAAUCCCCAGUACCUCUG